RNAcentral lists this unclassified non-coding RNA (2924 nucleotides) under Hevea brasiliensis (rubber tree). Lineage: Eukaryota; Viridiplantae; Streptophyta; Magnoliopsida; Malpighiales; Euphorbiaceae. The record is from RNAcentral.
GGAGACUUCAAUUUCUAUUUCUCAACAUUUUGAUGUCCGUCAAUUAUUGGAUAACAAUAAAAUACAUCAACUCUGAAGGCCGAACAGAAUGAGCUACGGCAGCAAAUCAUUGCCAUUGACACAAAUCUAAGCCAAAAUUGCCCACAGAAGAAGACCUAAGUUACAACUAAGCCACCCUGACAAAAAUAACAAGCAACCAGAAUGCCAAGCACAGCUCCAGCAAAGACUUGUAGCGGAGUAUGCCCAAGAAGUUCCUUGAGUUUUCUCUCACUGAUAGGAUGCCCUUGAAACAGGUCCUUAACGAUCAGAUUAAGAACCUCAGCUUGCAUUCCAGCGUGACGCCUAACACCGAUUGCAUCAUACAUAACUAUAAGGCUAAACCCCAAACAAACUGGAAAUAACGAAUCAGCCACCCCGUGACAAAGCGCCACUGAUGUUGUCAAAGCAGUGCAUAAAGCAGAGUGUGAAGAUGGCAUCCCUCCAGAAGCAAACAGUAUUCUUAAAUCCCAUUUCCUCUCCACAAAGAAAUUCAAAAUCACCUUUAUUGAUUGGGCCACAAACCAUGCGAGCAAACCCGAUAUAAAAGUUGGGUUUGCUGCCAAUGUCGCCACAAAAGGACUAAUUCGAACCUUAGCGUUCGAUGUAAUGCUUAAUAAAGCCACUCCAAAAGCUCCGUUUUGCAAGUAAUUGCCACUGUAACAGUUCAUUGCUUUCUCCGAUUCCUCGCUACAAGCUCGUAGGCGAGAAACCCAUUUCUUGGUUUGAGAAGAAGCUACGCCCUUGACGCGUUGAAAGAUUGGGACGAAAACCCAUAAAGGGUUAAAAGAAAAGACGUUACUAUUACAGUCUGAAUUGGGGUUUUGCCGAUUUGAAGGAGUUCUACUGGACAAACAAAUAGGAGAAGUUUUAAAUUUGGUAAAAUAAGUCAACUUGAAGAAUGACAAGUGUUUAGGAUAGAAAGAUUUAGCGCUUGGAUUUGGAGGAUUCAAAAAGAAAUAGUUAAAACUGGAUUUAAGGAUUAAAGAGUCCAUGAGAGGAGACUUCUACGCUUGAGCUCAGUUUCAGUCAGCAUUUCAGAGAGGAACUCUGACGAAGAAACGAAAGGCUAAGUUAGAGUUUGAAACACCGCACCAGAAAGGGAUUCGCUACAGUGGAUAGGAACUAGUGGUGGAGCAAGAGACCUUCGUUUAUCUUGUUAGAACAAAGAUGCCGUUUUUUCUCAAAAAAACAAAGCAACAAAGAUGCCGUUUUCCAAUCACAUUAGGCAAGGAAUAUGCUUUGGUUCAUUUGCUUGGUGCUUGAAAAUGGGUUUGGACAUGAAAGCAAAGCCCAAGAACAAGAGGAGGGAAGAGUCGCUGGGUAUUUAUAUUUGGGUUGGCCUAACCUUGUUUUUGCACUUUUGGCCCAAUUAAACGGAGAAGGGUAAUAUAGUAAAACAGCUAAAUCCGUUGGAGAAAGUUUCCAAGGGCUCUUUCCCUCCUCCCUCGAGUCUCUAGCCGACCUUCCUUCCAUUUUCCCGGUUAGUUCGCCAACGUCUUUUUCUUCAAUUUUAACACAAUCGCUCCUUUACUCUUUCCUCCCUCUAAACGACAAGAAAUGAGUCAUAAAUAUAAGUAAAAUAAGAAAUCCUUAUAAUUAUAAUGAUUAAUCUUUCAUUCCGUAUCUCUAACUAAUUUCAUACAAUCAUUGAUUGAGAAUUUGAUAUUAUUGAUGAACGAGAUACAGAGAUCGGGUACGACCCUUGGCGAUAACGGUGAAAAAAGUGCCUUACCUAUUCUCUAGGACUCUUUACUCACCAUUGCCAUCGUUGGUAAACAGGUCUCAUUUCUGUGCCGAAUUUAUAGAAAAUAUUAAUUUAUCAUCGGCCUUAAUAACAUUGCCAUGAGAAUACAGAGGCUUAUAGAGUGUUUGAAUUGAGGGAUUACGGUAGUAAGGAAAAGUAAAUGAUGAUUUAAAGGAAAUAUACACCUAUUUGGAAGAGAGAGUUGAGGAAGAAGAAAGUUUUUGGGAGAUUAUUUGGGAGUUGAAAACCUCCCAAAACCUGUCAAUUUCCAACUCACCAAUUUCGGUGGGUUGAGGAAUGUUUUAUUUUUUGACUUCCUAUAUUUCCCACAGUAAUUUUACAAAAACUCCAAAUUGCCUAUCCUUGUGUGUUUGACUUAUUUUUUACCUAGCAAACCUACCACCGAAACUAAUUUAAAAAGUGAAUCACCAUCCAACCAAACAAAAUAAGGUUAUAUACUCUUCAUCUGCUUUACUUUCUUCCCAAACAUAAAUAAAACUAUUAUCUUACCUUAUCAUACCAUACAUUCUUUUACCUUACCUUAUCUUACUUUAUUAAACCUCCCUUCACCCCACUUGUGGAAAUGGAAAUUUGAGAAUGCUUUACUGCUAGAUUUAUAAUUUUCUUAGGCAUUUUUCCCUCAUCUGAGGCAACAUGUUGUUUCUGUCCUUGUUUGUAGCCCGCAUUUUUCCUUUUGUACUCUUUGCAUGCAUGAGUGUGGAAGCACCUGGAGUUCCUUGAUAGCUUAAAUCGUAAAUGUUUAUCGUUCCUCUUCUCCAAUAAUCAUAUCUACUUAAUCUCGUGCUUCUUCUCUUGUGCGCUUCAUUGUGAACUUUUAUUUGUAAAAGGAUCUUAGAAAAGAAAUUGGACUACUGGCAUUAAGGACAUAGGCUUCAUGCGCUUAUGAUACUGAUGGCAGUAAAUGGUGAGUUGACCUUUCCAAUACUCAUAGUGAGUAGUGACCCAUGAAUUGUUAUGCCUUUUGGGUAUGUCCUUUUGGUUUUACUGCCAUGAGAUGCUGGGGCUCCCUCGAAGUUCUUUGAAGCUCAUUCUGUCAUUAGGUAGAUAUCAAAAUUUUCUAACCGUGUUGUCAGCCAAAAUUGUCACCUCAACCAAUGUUAUUGAAAGGUCCCACAAGUAA